UUGCGUUUUUUUUAUGGCCGAGGAAAAUCAGGCACUAAAUUUUUAAUUUAGUAACGAAACAUAUUUUUCU
RNAcentral lists this transfer RNA (70 nucleotides) under Virpazaria ripkeni. RNAcentral describes it as "tRNA-Lys". The record is from RNAcentral. Lineage: Eukaryota; Metazoa; Mollusca; Gastropoda; Stylommatophora; Spelaeodiscidae.